This 497-nucleotide ribosomal RNA is filed under the name uncultured bacterium. RNAcentral's name for it is "partial 16S ribosomal RNA". It matches the Rfam family "Bacterial small subunit ribosomal RNA", at positions 28 to 507 of the family's 1533-position model. The record is from RNAcentral.
GAUGAACGCUGGCGGCGUGCCUAAUACAUGCAAGUCGAGCGAACAGACGAGGAGCUUGCUCCUCUGACGUUAGCGGCGGACGGGUGAGUAACACGUGGUUAACCUACCUAUAAGACUGGGAUAACUUCGGGAAACCGGAGCUAAUACCGGAUAAUAUAUUGAACCGCAUGGUUCAAUAGUGAAAGACGGUUUUGCUGUCACUUAUAGAUGGAUCCGCGCCGCAUUAGCUAGUUGGUAAGGUAGCGGCUUACCAAGGCAACGAUGCGUAGCCGACCUGAGAGGGUGAUCGGCCACAGUGGAACUGAGAGACGGUCCAGACUCCUACGGGAGGCAGCAGUAGGGAAUCUUGCGCAAAGGGCGAAAGCCUGACGGAGCAACGCCGCGUGAGUGAUGAAGGUCUUCGGAUCGUAAAACUCUGUUAUUAGGGAAGAACAAAUGUGUAAGUAACUAUGCACGUCUUGACGGUACCUAAUCAGAAAGCCACGGCUAACUACGUG